This 408-nucleotide long non-coding RNA is filed under the name Aquilegia coerulea. RNAcentral describes it as "long non-coding RNA (ACOE_LNC002014)". Lineage: Eukaryota; Viridiplantae; Streptophyta; Magnoliopsida; Ranunculales; Ranunculaceae. The record is from RNAcentral.
GGCACUGAAGGCACAUCCUCUCCAUCACUCACCGACGCCAUUUCAGAUGGUUGGUACUCUUUAUCACGAUACAAGUUUAUGUUAAAUGUCAACUCAGGGUUUUCCUCCAGAUCUUCUUUGAAGCGCUUAUAGUCAGCAUUAAUCUUCUCCUCAUUGUGUUUUUUACAGGAGUCAUCCACCUCCAUGUUCAACGACUUGAGUUUCCAGGGACGAGGCUUUCCACGUGUUUUCUGACGUUUUUCUUCGUAGCUCUUCUUUACUAAUAUUGCAUCUGGUAGCACAAGACUCUUAUACUUGUCUAAUACAAUGUCAUUAUUGUUAGCUCCAUAUAAGUCAUAACCAAGAGCAUAAUCGCCAGGAUUCAAAAGAUGGCCAAGGUGCGUUCUCAUGGUGAAAAUUGUGUCGUUC